Molecule: long non-coding RNA, 1347 nt
Organism: Manihot esculenta (cassava)
Lineage: Eukaryota; Viridiplantae; Streptophyta; Magnoliopsida; Malpighiales; Euphorbiaceae
Exons: 2
Source: RefSeq, a predicted model, not a curated record
GAGAGUUAAUUUAAUUUUUGAAACUCAAAUGGAUUUGUUUAAAAAGAUUUGUACUGAUUUGAAUUAUUUUAAAAGAUUAAGGAUUAGUUUAUAAUUUUCAUUUAAAGUUAAAAAAAAUCAUCACAGCCUCGCUCUCCUCUCACGCUCUCUCUCCCUCCCUCUCUCUUUCACUCUUCUUCUCUUUCCUUCUCUCCUUCGUUCUUCCAUUUCACCGGUCACCACAUCCACCAUCAGCUAUAUUUAGCUUCACCGGCAGAUAAGUGGCCGUCGACCACUCUCCCAUGACUAGAACAAUGUUAGAUUUCAGUGAAGAGAGAAAAAAUUCGUAAAGAGAGAGAAAAUGAGUUUCUAAAUUUUGAAAUCACAUAUCUUACAAUCCGAGCAUCCUAUCGAAGUGAUUCCAAUAAUAUGGACUUUUGGUGAAGAGAGCUUUUAGAAGGGACCAAUUUCGCCAUAUUUGGUUCUUGUUUCUAGCAGCGGUGAGGAGAGAGAAAAUAAGUAACCAAAACUUUCCGAUGUGAUUCCGAUGUCGAGGUAAGGUGUUUUCGGUGGCGUUGGACUCCUGGCAGUAUAGGCUUUCAUUUGGGACCAGCUUCACCGGAUUUCAUGAAGUUUCCAGUGAGAUUGAGGAGAGAGAAACUUGAGAAUUAUAUUUCAAAUCUCAGCCAAUCAGCGAUCUAUUUCAGUGAUCAAGCCUGGUAAUCGUGAUAUACAUUCCACAAGCUUCAAUUUCACACCUACUAUGCCUCAGAUCGGACAACGUAUGAUGAAGAUAAUAAAUGGAUGGAUGAAAUAAAUUGGCUAAUAUUGGACGAUCGGAAGGAAAUUUUGACAAACGGUCUUCGAAUCAAUGACUAAUGAAUCUUGGGUAUUUCAAAACUGUAUUCGGAGCAUCAAUAUCUCACCGACCUCGGGAUCGAAUUUUCAGGCAGAUCAAUGUACUCGGGGGACCUUUAUGAAAGAUUAUCGUAUUUACAGUCCUUUCCACCAACGUUUCCACCAAUUUCAGAUGCUCUCAAAGCGGUCCAGGUGUUCGUUUUUGCAAAGGUACGACGCAUUAUCUCGCUGACUCCCCAUGAUAUGGAUAGGCGAGGUAGGUACGACGCUAUAUUUCACUACUACGGAAUAAAUACGAUGCUAUAUUUUGCUGACUCUUACAGAAUAGUUUAAGUGAAUGUAUUGAAUUGAGAGAGUCAAGACAUGGGAUCGGCUCCCAAUAGUUAUUUAUUUUGGAUGAGUGCGUGAGUAGCUCCAAUUUAUCCUCUUGUGUGAAGAUUGUAUGAUUAAUUCAAUAGUAAGAUUACUUUUGUAUUAGAUCACAAUUAUAGGAUUUAUGAUUAUAACUAA